GAUGAGAACGUAGUGAAAUGCGAUAGGUAGUGUGAAUUGCAGAUGUAACGUGAAUCAUCGAAUCUUUGAACGCAAAUUGCACUCUCUGGUAUUCCGGGGAGUAUGCCUGUUUGAGGGUCGCCAAAUCAAAAUCGAAAUUCAUUUGCUUUUUUGUAAAUGUUUAUCGGAUUUGAGCCGUCUUUUUUUAUUUUAAUUAAAGUGGCUUAAAAUGUAUUUUUUUGGUAUCGAAAUACGUUAUUUUACGAUCAAAUUGAUUAAAAAAACAAACGUUUUCGAAUGCCGCCUUUUUAAUGUAAUACGUUUGACUGUGAUGGUUAAUCAUAGUUUCAUUCGUAUACGAUUUUUUAAUUUUUGACCUCAAAUCAGGUAAGAACACCCGCUGAACUUAAGCAUAUCAAUAAGCGGAGGA
This 409-nucleotide unclassified non-coding RNA is filed under the name soil metagenome. RNAcentral describes it as "partial contains 5.8S ribosomal RNA, internal transcribed spacer 2, and large subunit ribosomal RNA". The stretch from base 5 to 120 matches the Rfam family "5.8S ribosomal RNA", at positions 40 to 154 of the family's 154-position model. The record is from RNAcentral.